CGGGAAGCCACCUGGUGACAGGGAGCGGAACCCGAAAGCCUGUCUCAGUUCGGAUUGGAGUCUGCAACUCGACUCCAUGAAGCUGGAUUCGCUAGUAAUCGCGCAUCAGCCAUGGCGCGGUGAAUACGUUCCCGGGCCUUGUACACACCGCCCGUCAAGCCAUGGGAGCCGGGGGUGCCUGAAGUACGUGACCGCGAGGAGCGUCCUAGGGCAAAACUGGUGACUGGGGCUAAGUCGUAACAAGGUAGC
RNAcentral lists this ribosomal RNA (249 nucleotides) under uncultured bacterium. RNAcentral describes it as "partial 16S ribosomal RNA". It matches the Rfam family "Bacterial small subunit ribosomal RNA", at positions 1243 to 1500 of the family's 1533-position model. The record is from RNAcentral.